RNAcentral lists this ribosomal RNA (495 nucleotides) under uncultured bacterium. RNAcentral's name for it is "partial 16S ribosomal RNA". It matches the Rfam family "Bacterial small subunit ribosomal RNA", at positions 30 to 507 of the family's 1533-position model. The record is from RNAcentral.
UGAACGCUGGCGGCGUGCCUAAUACAUGCACGUCGAGCGAACAGACGCGGAGCUUGCUCCUCUGACGUUAGCGGCGGACGGGUGAGUAACACGUGGAUAACCUACCUAUAAGACUGGGAUAACUUCGGGAAACCGGAGCUAAUACCGGAUAAUAUAUUGAACCGCAUGGUUCAAUAGUGAAAGACGGUUUUGCUGUCACUUAUAGAUGGAUCCGCGCCGCAUUAGCUAGUUGGUAAGGUAACGGCUUACCAAGGCAACGAUGCGUAGCCGACCUGAGAGGGUGAUCGGCCACACUGGAACUGAGACACGGUCCAGACUCCUACGGGAGGCAGCAGUAGGGAAUCUUCCGCAAUCGGCGAAAGCCUGACGGAGCAACGCCGCGUGAGUGAUGAAGGUCUUCGGAUCGUAAAACUCUGUUAUUAGGGAAGAACAAAUGUGUAAGUAACUAUGCACGUCUUGACGGUACCUAAUCAGAAAGCCACGGCUAACUACGUG